This 22-nucleotide non-coding RNA is filed under the name Arabidopsis thaliana (thale cress). Lineage: Eukaryota; Viridiplantae; Streptophyta; Magnoliopsida; Brassicales; Brassicaceae. The record is from RNAcentral.
ACUAGUAUGAGGUCUUUUGGGA